This 293-nucleotide unclassified non-coding RNA is filed under the name fungal sp. Its description in RNAcentral is "partial internal transcribed spacer region". The stretch from base 1 to 46 matches the Rfam family "Eukaryotic small subunit ribosomal RNA", at positions 1786 to 1831 of the family's 1831-position model. Lineage: Eukaryota; Fungi. The record is from RNAcentral.
AAGUCGUAACAAGGUUUCCGUAGGUGAACCUGCGGAAGGAUCAUUAUCACGUUAUCCACGUAUCAACCAUUUGUGAACCGUACUCUAACCUCUGGUCUUUUUUCGUUUGUGUUAUGCAAAUGGGGGAGGAUCAGAGCGUAUUAACCCUUUUUUACAUUAACCAUUCUAACCAAAUCUUUAUAACUUCAUGAACUAAUCUUUAUUUUAUACUCUUCGGAGAUAAAAUUCAUUACGAAACAAAGAACAACUCUUAGCAACGGAUAUCUUGGUUCUCGUAACGAUGAAGAACGCGC